Molecule: non-coding RNA, 49 nt
Filed under: Alexandrium minutum
Lineage: Eukaryota; Dinophyceae; Gonyaulacales; Pyrocystaceae
Source: RNAcentral
CUUUUUUUUUUUUUUUUUUUUUUUUUUUUUUUUUUUUUUUUUUUCAUUC